AUGGUUCAAUUUGCAAAAUACUGGAAUGGCAUUGAUCUCAUGAAAGAUGAUGAGGAUUUCAAUCAAAGCAACGUAGAUGCCGAGUGGAAACCAGAGUUCCUUUUUACAGCCAUAUUUGGUGAAACAAACCUAGUAAACUGGGAGCAACUACCUGGAAGAAUCAAUGAAUUCAAACCAGGAACUUCAAAGUUCUUUUCCACCAACAAAGCAAAGAAUCAGCUGGUUCCCAUGUAUCUCAAGGAAAAUCAACGGAAAAAACUCUCAACGGCAAACAUGCAACAAGUAUUUUGUAUGAAGAUAUUCAUUUCAAUGGAGAAGCAUGACCGCUAUGUACUAUAUGUCCUGGAAAAAUACAGACACAAAGUUCACAUUAUUGAUCCUCGAGAAACGACUCACGAGGAAUUUGAGAAAGAAAAGAUAGACAUCAAAGAAUUGACAGAAGAAGAAGCUUGUCGAGUUCUUCAGGAAAAUGAAGAUGCUAAAGAAGAAAGAGAAAGAUAG
This 501-nucleotide ribosomal RNA is filed under the name Triticum aestivum (bread wheat). RNAcentral's name for it is "partial small subunit ribosomal RNA". Lineage: Eukaryota; Viridiplantae; Streptophyta; Magnoliopsida; Poales; Poaceae. The record is from RNAcentral.